GGAUUAUUUUAUCUACCACCUGAUUUAUAAAAUCUUUAUCUGCAUGACAUGGCAAUUUAUCGCAACCUAGCCUCUCAAGGCUGAAUACACAGUACAAAUAAUUCGAACACCAAAAAUCAGUUUAGCCAUUCAUGCUCAUAUAUUGUCAUAAGCCAUUCAAUUUAAAACCAUAAAUUUACAACACAUCAAGUGGUCUUCAAUUACUCUAUUUUCAAAAUCAUUAUUUAAUUUAUAAAAAUUUAUAAAAUCACAUUUAUUCAAAAAGCAUAACAAUUUACCAUUUAAACCCAUUUUACCAUAAAAUCACAAAAACGAAUAAAAACUACUUUAGAUAAUUAAGACGAUAGUAAGGUUACUCACAGUAUCAGGAGUAGAAAUACUCCUAGUCCCAGUCUUUGGUGUAAUCUCUUUAUUUUUAUCAAAUAGCUCACCACCUAUACAUCACACAUGACACAAAAUUCAAUAAUUUGUGUCAAUUUAUCAUAAACUAUUUCAGGCUCUCUAAAUCUAAAUGAAUGCAUGCGAUGGGAUGCAAAAUGUCCGAUUAAUCACUUAAACGUGAUAUUUAACCUAAGUCACACUAUACUCGAUCUAAUCGGCUAAAAUCUCCAAUUUAACUCUAAAUCAAUUUUUCUCACUUUCUACACUUCAAUUAUACCUAAAUUACCUCAGUGACUAUGAAUGAAAUUCAAUUUAUCAGCCCCGGGUCAAUAAUCACACAUGUCUAUAUGUUGAGCAAAAAUUCAGAUUUUCACACCAAAAUUUCUCAUUUAAUUUCUAGCCUCACCAAACAUCAAAUAUCAUUAAUUUCAGCCACAAUAUCCUCCCUAGAAAAUUCGUCCAAUGAAGAACACAUAAGGAAUGGGUGAUUUUCAAGCUUGAUUCUUACACUAAACACCAUAAAUCAUUGAAAACAUCCAUAUAACUUAAAAUCCAACCAAACCAUCACCAAACUCUCUCUCUCUAGAAUUCGGCCUUCAUGGGUUUCAUCAUGCCAACUCAAUUUUCAGCCAGGGAAAUAAGAAAAUAAAGCAUGGGUAUGCUAGAUCUCAAGCAAAAAUUGAAAAAUCAUACCUUAUCUUGCUUGAUUCCUUGAAAUUUCCACAAUUUUUCUUGAAAUUCUCUUAUCUAGGGUUUUUUCUAGUUUUUCCUUUCUUUCCU
This 1161-nucleotide long non-coding RNA is filed under the name Theobroma cacao (cacao). RNAcentral describes it as "long non-coding RNA (TCAC_LNC003328)". The record is from RNAcentral. Lineage: Eukaryota; Viridiplantae; Streptophyta; Magnoliopsida; Malvales; Malvaceae.